This 282-nucleotide ribosomal RNA is filed under the name uncultured Ochromonas. Its description in RNAcentral is "partial Eukaryotic large subunit ribosomal RNA". It matches the Rfam family "Eukaryotic large subunit ribosomal RNA", at positions 173 to 454 of the family's 3401-position model. Lineage: Eukaryota; Chrysophyceae; Chromulinales; Chromulinaceae. The record is from RNAcentral.
UAUGUGCUUUAGGUUCCUUGGAAGAGGACGCCAUAGAGGGUGAGAGUCCCGUUUAGGCACGUGUUGGCAGCGUCCGGGUAUUGUUCUACGAGUCGAGUUGCUUGGGACUGCAGCUCCAAGUUGGUGGUAAAUUCCAUCAAAGGCUAAAUAGCGGCGAGAGACCGAUAGCGAACAAGUAGCGUGAGCGAAAGAUGACAAGAACUUUGAAAAGAGAGUGAAAGAGUACCUGAAAUCGUUGAAAGGGAAGGGUUUGCGUCCAGUGUUGGUUUUGCGUGUGGUUGU